GAUGAACGCUGGCGGCGUGCCUAAUACAUGCAAGUCGAGCGAACAGACGAGGAGCUUGCUCCUCUGACGUUAGCGGCGGACGGGUGAGUAACACGUGGAUAACCUACCUAUAAGACUGGGAUAACUUCGGGAAACCGGAGCUAAUACCGGAUAAUAUAUUGAACCGCAUGGUUCAAUAGUGAAAGACGGUUUUGCUGUCACUUAUAGAUGGAUCCGCGCCGCAUUAGCUAGUUGGUGAGGUAACGGCUUACCAAGGCAACGAUGGGUAGCCGACCUGCGAGGGGGAUCGGCCACACUGGAACUGAGACACGGUCCAGACUCCUACGGGAGGCAGCAGUAGGGAAUCUUCCGCAAUGGGCGAAAGCCUGACGGAGCAACGCCGCGUGAGUGAUGAAGGUCUUCGGAUCGUAAAACGCUGUUAUUAGGGAAGAACAAAUGUGUAAGUAACUAUGCACGUCUUGACGGUACCUAAUCAGAAAGCCACGGCUAACUACGUG
Molecule: ribosomal RNA, 497 nt
Filed under: uncultured bacterium
Lineage: Bacteria
Description: partial 16S ribosomal RNA
Rfam family: Bacterial small subunit ribosomal RNA
Source: RNAcentral